UCCGAUUUACACCGGCGGUCUCCUAUGAGUUCCCGACUUUCUCGCUGGCAACAUAGGACGAGGGUUGCGCUCGUUGGCGGACUUAACCGUACACCUCACGGCACGAGCUGACGACAGCCAUGCAACAAGUGUCUUCAUGUCCCCUUGUGGGGGAGGCACGCAUCUCUGCGUGUUGCAAUCGAUGUCAAACCUGGGUAAGGUUCUUCGGUUAGUAUCGAAUUAAUCCACAUGCUCCACCGCUUGUGCGGGCCCCCGUCAAUUCGUUUGAGUUUCAGCCUUGCGACCGUACUCCCCAGGCGGGGCACUUACUGCGUUAGCGCCGGCACCGACGGGAUGUAUACCGCCGACACCUAGUGCCCAUCGUUUACAGCGUGGACUAC
RNAcentral lists this unclassified non-coding RNA (380 nucleotides) under uncultured Armatimonadota bacterium. RNAcentral's name for it is "uncultured Armatimonadetes bacterium contains 16S-23S intergenic spacer region". The record is from RNAcentral. Lineage: Bacteria; Bacillati; Armatimonadota.